UGGAGGCCAUUCAUUGUAACUGUAACUAAGGUAGAGGCAUACCUUAAAUAAAAAAAAGAACAACAAACACCUUCCGGUAAAAAAAAAAAAAAAACACAACGGAGGCAAAGGAGACAGGUAGCAAGCGGAGUGAUAAAAUGCGGUUUGAGCUAUCACAAGACUACAAACCACUGCUCUCAAGGCAGCAGAAAAGCUCUAUGAAAACUGGGCAGCUAUCGGUGACAGGAUCCUGGCGUUUGCCCAGCAAGAAGGAAAACUGCAGUCAGUGUCCAGUGACAUGACACCAGAUGGUCCCAAGCUGCCUUCAAUAAUCCAAUGCACAGCCAUGCCAGUACACCCCGGGCUACACCCCUGAUGCUACACUACUCACAC
Molecule: long non-coding RNA, 372 nt
Organism: Seriola aureovittata
Lineage: Eukaryota; Metazoa; Chordata; Actinopteri; Carangiformes; Carangidae
Exons: 3
Source: RefSeq, a predicted model, not a curated record